GACGGACGCUGGCGGCGUGCCUAACACAUGCAAGUCGAGCGAAUGAAGUUCCUUCGGAAAUGGAUUUAGCGGCGGACGGGUGAGUAACACGUGGGCAACCUGCCUCAUAGAGGGGAAUAGCCUUCCGAAAGGGAGAUUAAUACCGCAUAAGAUUGUAGUACCGCAUGGUACAGCAAUUAAAGGAGCAAUCCGCUAUGAGAUGGGCCCGCGGCGCAUUAGCUAGUUGGUGAGGUAACGGCUCACCAAGGCGACGAUGCGUAGCCGACCUGAGAGGGUGAUCGGCCACAUUGGGACUGAGACACGGCCCAGACUCCUACGGGAGGCAGCAGUGGGGAAUAUUGCACAAUGGGGGAAACCCUGAUGCAGCAACGCCGCGUGAGUGAUGACGGCCUUCGGGUUGUAAAGCUCUGUCUUCAGGGACGAUAAUGACGGUACCUGAGGAGGAAGCCACGGCUAGCUACGUGCCAGCCGCCGCCGUAA
Molecule: ribosomal RNA, 480 nt
Filed under: uncultured bacterium
Lineage: Bacteria
Description: partial 16S ribosomal RNA
Rfam family: Bacterial small subunit ribosomal RNA
Source: RNAcentral